CCUACGGGUGGCUGCAGUGAGGAAUAUUGGUCAAUGGACGAGAGUCUGAACCAGCCAAGUCGCGUGAGGGAUUAAGGCCCUGCGGGUCGUAAACCUCUUUUGCCGGGGAGCAGAGGUCCGGACGUGUCCGGGCCGGGAGAGUACCCGGAGAAAAAGCAUCGGCUAACUCCGUGCCAGCAGCCGCGGUAAUACGGAGGAUGCGAGCGUUAUCCGGAUUUAUUGGGUUUAAAGGGUGCGUAGGCGGGCAUUUAAGCCGGCGGUCAAAUGUCGGGGCUCAACCCCGGCCUGCCGUCGGAACUGGGUGCCUUGAGUGGGCGAGAAGUAUGCGGAAUGCGUGGUGUAGCGGUGAAAUGCAUAGAUAUCACGCAGAACCCCGAUUGCGAAGGCAGCAUACCGGCGCCCGACUGACGCUGAGGCACGAAAGUGCGGGUAUCGAACAGGAUUAGAUACCCGGGUAGUC
Molecule: ribosomal RNA, 460 nt
Filed under: uncultured bacterium
Lineage: Bacteria
Description: partial 16S ribosomal RNA
Rfam family: Bacterial small subunit ribosomal RNA
Source: RNAcentral